AACGAACGCUGGCGGCAUGCCUAACACAUGCAAGUCGAACGAGACCUUCGGGUCUAGUGGCGCACGGGUGCGUAACGCGUGGGAACCUGCCCUCAGGUUCGGAAUAACUCCCCGAAAGGGGUGCCAAUACCGGAUAAUGUCUUCGGACCAAAGAUUUAUCGCCCUUGGUUGGGCCCGCGUUGGAUUAGCUAGUUGGUAGGGUAAAAGCCUACCAAGGCGACGAUCCAUAGCUGGUCUGAGAGGAUGAUCAGCCACACUGGGACUGAGACACGGCCCAGACUCCUACGGGAGGCAGCAGUGGGGAAUGUUGGACAAUGGGCGAAAGCCUGAUCCAGCAAUGCCGCGUGAGUGAUGAAGGCCUUAGGGUUGUAAAGCUCUUUUACCCGGGAUGAUAAUGACGGUACCGGGAGAAUAAGCUCCGGCUAACUCCGUG
RNAcentral lists this ribosomal RNA (433 nucleotides) under uncultured bacterium. Its description in RNAcentral is "partial 16S ribosomal RNA". It matches the Rfam family "Bacterial small subunit ribosomal RNA", at positions 29 to 507 of the family's 1533-position model. The record is from RNAcentral.